UUGUUGAUUAGGAGAUGCAUGGGCCUGGACAACGGCUCGACGAACAUAAACGGGACAUUAAGACAGGCAGAAUUACGACAGCCCUAGCUGAGGAAGCCUACCAGAACGACCUACAUAUCGAAUGGGACCGUGCAAAAGUAAUAAAGACGAUCAAGCUCCCACCCCAGGCAGUAACCCAUGAAACGAUAGAAAUUAUGAGAGCGAGGGAAACCCAGAAUCUAUUAAAUGACAAACCUUCAGUCGAACUACCAGCGGCCUGGAAGUACAUGCUUAGAGACUUUAAAUGACUGUUUAUAAUAAUAAUAUUUUU
RNAcentral lists this long non-coding RNA (310 nucleotides) under Androctonus crassicauda. The record is from RNAcentral. Lineage: Eukaryota; Metazoa; Arthropoda; Arachnida; Scorpiones; Buthidae.